Molecule: ribosomal RNA, 253 nt
Filed under: uncultured bacterium
Lineage: Bacteria
Description: partial 16S ribosomal RNA
Rfam family: Bacterial small subunit ribosomal RNA
Source: RNAcentral
UACAGAGGUCUCAAGCGUUGUUCGGAUUCAUUGGGCGUAAAGGGUGCGUAGGCGGCGCGGUAAGUCGGGUGUGAAAUCUUGGAGCUUAACUCCGAAACUGCAUUCGAUACUGCCGUGCUUGAGGACUGGAGAGGAGACUGGAAUUUACGGUGUAGCGGUGAAAUGCGUAGAUAUCGUAAGGAAGACCAGUGGCGAAGGCGGGUCACUGGACAGUUCCUGACGCUGAGGCACGAAGGCCAGGGGAGCAAACGGG